AGUGGCAGCCAUUGUAAAUAAGUU
RNAcentral lists this non-coding RNA (24 nucleotides) under Arabidopsis thaliana (thale cress). The record is from RNAcentral. Lineage: Eukaryota; Viridiplantae; Streptophyta; Magnoliopsida; Brassicales; Brassicaceae.